GACGAACGCUGGCGGCGUGCCUAAUACAUGCAAGUCGAACGCAGUGGGGACGGGUUAGUAACACGUGGGUAACCUCCCAUCUGAGGGGAUAAAACUUGGAAACAGGUGCUAACCCCAUACUGAUGGAUCGACCCGCGGUGCAUUAGCCAGUUGGUGAGGUAACGGCUCACCAAGGCAACGAUGCCUAGCCGAUCUGAGAGGGUGACCAGCCACACUGGAACUGAGACACGGCCCAGACUCCUACGGGAGGCAGCAGUAGGGAAUAUUGGGCAAUGGGCGAAAGUCUGAUCGAGCAACGCCGCGUGAGUGAAGAAGGUCUUCGGGUCGUAAAGCUCUGUCGUUGGAGAAGCGUUACCUAACGAGAAAGCAACGGCUAACUCCGUGCCAGCAGCCGCGGUAAUUC
RNAcentral lists this ribosomal RNA (403 nucleotides) under uncultured bacterium. Its description in RNAcentral is "partial 16S ribosomal RNA". It matches the Rfam family "Bacterial small subunit ribosomal RNA", at positions 28 to 526 of the family's 1533-position model. The record is from RNAcentral.